RNAcentral lists this transfer RNA (69 nucleotides) under Rattus norvegicus (Norway rat). It matches the Rfam family "tRNA". From Rfam's summary of the family: Transfer RNA (tRNA) molecules are approximately 80 nucleotides in length. Their secondary structure includes four short double-helical elements and three loops (D, anti-codon, and T loops). Lineage: Eukaryota; Metazoa; Chordata; Mammalia; Rodentia; Muridae. The record is from Rfam by way of RNAcentral.
GGGGGUUUAGCUCAGUGGUAGAGCGCUUGCCUAGGAAGCUCAAGGCCCUGGGUUCAGUCCCCAGCUCCG